This 523-nucleotide ribosomal RNA is filed under the name Salmonella enterica subsp. salamae. RNAcentral's name for it is "partial 23S ribosomal RNA". It matches the Rfam family "Bacterial large subunit ribosomal RNA", at positions 2194 to 2716 of the family's 2925-position model. The record is from RNAcentral. Lineage: Bacteria; Pseudomonadati; Pseudomonadota; Gammaproteobacteria; Enterobacterales; Enterobacteriaceae.
GAAAUACCACCCUUUAAUGUUUGAUGUUCUAACGUGGACCCGUGAUCCGGGUUGCGGACAGUGUCUGGUGGGUAGUUUGACUGGGGCGGUCUCCUCCUAAAGAGUAACGGAGGAGCACGAAGGUUGGCUAAUCCUGGUCGGACAUCAGGAGGUUAGUGCAAUGGCAUAAGCCAGCUUGACUGCGAGCGUGACGGCGCGAGCAGGUGCGAAAGCAGGUCAUAGUGAUCCGGUGGUUCUGAAUGGAAGGGCCAUCGCUCAACGGAUAAAAGGUACUCCGGGGAUAACAGGCUGAUACCGCCCAAGAGUUCAUAUCGACGGCGGUGUUUGGCACCUCGAUGUCGGCUCAUCACAUCCUGGGGCUGAAGUAGGUCCCAAGGGUAUGGCUGUUCGCCAUUUAAAGUGGUACGCGAGCUGGGUUUAGAACGUCGUGAGACAGUUCGGUCCCUAUCUGCCGUGGGCGCUGGAGAACUGAGGGGGGCUGCUCCUAGUACGAGAGGACCGGAGUGGACGCAUCACUGGUGUU